CAGAAUUAAGAUUCAGUCCGUCUGUUUUCUCAGAAGCAGCUUUCAUUCUGUGCAUUUCAUCCAGAACAUUUUAAUCUUCUGAAGUGAAGAUGAAGAUAGCAGCCUUCAAUGUCAAAAACCUGGGAAUAAAAAAGGUCAAAGACAAGAAGGUGGUCCACUACCUCACCGAGAUCGUGUCUCGGUACAGCGUGGUGGUGAUACUGGAGGUGAUGGAUAAAAGUGGCAUGGCCAUGGAGGAAUUAAUUAACGAGCUCAACAA
Anoplopoma fimbria (sablefish) is the source of this 259-nucleotide long non-coding RNA. RefSeq lists it as uncharacterized. The record is from RefSeq and is a predicted model, not a curated record. NCBI's taxonomy places the organism in Eukaryota, Metazoa, Chordata, Actinopteri, Perciformes, Anoplopomatidae. The transcript is spliced from 3 exons.